GCCAGCCUGUUAGCCUUUAUCGUUCAGUCAUUUUAGACCUCAAAAAGAACAUUCCAUCAAGGGAUCAGGUUCUAUCAUCUCACUGGAAUGCAAUUUAAGACAUCAUCUCCAGAAAACUGUGCUAGUUGGCAUCCAGCAGUGCCCAAGUAUUAUUUAACCCACUAGAACCUGUGACUGCAUCAGCUUUAUAUCCUGGACCUCAGCCUGGAACAAAGGAGAGCUACACUUGGAUACUAAACACAAGUGGUCUGGAUAGAUUAUGCUGGGAAAAGAAGCCUGGAGCAGGCAGUACAGUGGGAGAACAAGGAGAGAAUGGAGUUGCAGCAGACUGCUCAGGAAUUGUACAUCACCAGUAGCUUCUGUCUCAGCUAAGUGUGGGAGACUGAUACUGAUGAGCCAUUAACAAUGGUGGAGAUUCUGAAUCACUGAAGCACUUGAUAAAAGAAAUGUCGUGGGUGAUGUGAAAAUCUACAUAUGCCCAUGAGAGUAUAUUGAGUUUGUAAGUGUUGUUGCUUAGUGUGUCACAGAGAAGUUUAUAAGAAACUAUUUUGGAGUAAGAAACAACACAGAAGAACACAGUUUCAGCCUGAAAUGGCUUAUUUAGCCACUGACCAUCAGAAACAAUUACUUUUUACCUUAACCUAGAUUUGUAAUAGCAGGAUGCAUUGAAUUCCUUCAUUGAAGUGAAACCUUAGCAAAUCUUUAAGUAGUACUCUAAAGUGACAAAAGGUGUUUACAUUUACUAAUGUAAAUUUCUUGUGGAGAUAAAGUUUUUAUUCUUCUUGGGUCUCAAGACUGCUCAAGAAGGAACCAUCGUUUGUUCUACACUGCUCUGUUCUAAAUGUUUGUUCCCCCAAUAUUCAUAUGUUGAAAUUCUAACCCCCAAGGAGAUAGUAUUAGGAGGUGGGGCCUUCGGGACAUGAUAAGGUCAUGAGGAUGAAGCCCUCAAGAAUAAGAUUCAUUGCCUUAUAAAGAAAAACCAGAAAGAUCCCUCAUUUCUUCAAUCAUAAGAAGACACAUGAGCAAGAAGACGGCCAGCUAUGAAGCAGGUCGUGGGCCCUCGCCAGACACUGAAUCUGCCAACACUUUGAUCUUGGAUUUCCUAGCCUGCAGAACUGUGAGAAAUAAAUUUCUUUUCUUUA
This 1142-nucleotide long non-coding RNA is filed under the name Homo sapiens (human). Its description in RNAcentral is "long intergenic non-protein coding RNA 1013". Lineage: Eukaryota; Metazoa; Chordata; Mammalia; Primates; Hominidae. The record is from RNAcentral.